GCUGGGUGUGGUGGCGGGCACCUGUAAUCCCAGCUACUCAGGAGGCUGAGAUAGGAGAAUUGCUUGAACUCAGGAGGUGGAGGUUGCAGUGAGCCAAGAUUGCACCACUGCACUCCAGCCUGGGGGACAGAGCAAGACUCUAUCUCAA
RNAcentral lists this small RNA (148 nucleotides) under Callithrix jacchus (white-tufted-ear marmoset). Its description in RNAcentral is "Metazoan signal recognition particle RNA (ENSCJAG00000084176.1)". Lineage: Eukaryota; Metazoa; Chordata; Mammalia; Primates; Cebidae. The record is from Rfam by way of RNAcentral.